Molecule: ribosomal RNA, 1035 nt
Filed under: Klebsiella variicola
Lineage: Bacteria; Pseudomonadati; Pseudomonadota; Gammaproteobacteria; Enterobacterales; Enterobacteriaceae
Description: bacterial SSU rRNA
Rfam family: Bacterial small subunit ribosomal RNA
Source: RNAcentral
GACAGUUGCGGCAGCUAAAAUGCAGUCGAGCGGUAGCACAGAGAGCUUGCUCUCGGGUGACGAGCGGCGGACGGGUGAGUAAUGUCUGGGAAACUGCCUGAUGGAGGGGGAUAACUACUGGAAACGGUAGCUAAUACCGCAUAACGUCGCAAGACCAAAGUGGGGGACCUUCGGGCCUCAUGCCAUCAGAUGUGCCCAGAUGGGAUUAGCUAGUAGGUGGGGUAACGGCUCACCUAGGCGACGAUCCCUAGCUGGUCUGAGAGGAUGACCAGCCACACUGGAACUGAGACACGGUCCAGACUCCUACGGGAGGCAGCAGUGGGGAAUAUUGCACAAUGGGCGCAAGCCUGAUGCAGCCAUGCCGCGUGUGUGAAGAAGGCCUUCGGGUUGUAAAGCACUUUCAGCGGGGAGGAAGGCGUUAAGGUUAAUAACCUUGUCGAUUGACGUUACCCGCAGAAGAAGCACCGGCUAACUCCGUGCCAGCAGCCGCGGUAAUACGGAGGGUGCAAGCGUUAAUCGGAAUUACUGGGCGUAAAGCGCACGCAGGCGGUCUGUCAAGUCGGAUGUGAAAUCCCCGGGCUCAACCUGGGAACUGCAUUCGAAACUGGCAGGCUAGAGUCUUGUAGAGGGGGGUAGAAUUCCAGGUGUAGCGGUGAAAUGCGUAGAGAUCUGGAGGAAUACCGGUGGCGAAGGCGGCCCCCUGGACAAAGACUGACGCUCAGGUGCGAAAGCGUGGGGAGCAAACAGGAUUAGAUACCCUGGUAGUCCACGCCGUAAACGAUGUCGAUUUGGAGGUUGUGCCCUUGAGGCGUGGCUUCCGGAGCUAACGCGUUAAAUCGACCGCCUGGAGAGUACGGCCGCAAGGUUAAAACUCAAAUGAAUUGACGGGGGCCCGCACAAGCGGUGGAGCAUGUGGUUUAAUUCGAUGCAACGCGAAGAACCUUACCUGGUCUUGACAUCCACAGAACUUACCAGAGAUGCAUUGGUGCCUUCGGGAACUGUGAGACAGGUGCUGCAUGGCUGUCGUCAGCUCGU